Coregonus clupeaformis (lake whitefish) is the source of this 172-nucleotide long non-coding RNA. RefSeq lists it as uncharacterized. The record is from RefSeq and is a predicted model, not a curated record. NCBI's taxonomy places the organism in Eukaryota, Metazoa, Chordata, Actinopteri, Salmoniformes, Salmonidae. The transcript has 3 exons.
CCUUGGCCUCUUGCAAACGUUGGGACUCUUGAGGAGAUGAUUGAGAUUGCAUGGCAGAAGUGUCAGGAGUACCAAUCUAAGUUCUUCAUGUGGUAUUGUGUUACCCUGUUGUGCACACAGAGUAGGGCACAGCCCAUCUCUCCACCAGUGAAGCCCAUCGUGGCUGAGCUGC